This 382-nucleotide ribosomal RNA is filed under the name uncultured marine Chaetocerotaceae. RNAcentral's name for it is "SSU rRNA". It matches the Rfam family "Eukaryotic small subunit ribosomal RNA", at positions 587 to 972 of the family's 1831-position model. The record is from RNAcentral. Lineage: Eukaryota; Bacillariophyta; Thalassiosirophyceae; Chaetocerotales; Chaetocerotaceae.
AGCUCCAAUAGCGUAUAUUAAAGUUGCUGCAGUUAAAAAGCUCGUAGUUGAAUUUCUGGUGGGGGAAUGCGGUGUGACCCUUAGGGUUAUGACUUGCAAUCUCCGGCCAUCCUUGGGUGGAGCCAUUCUGGCAUUAAGUUGUCGGGGUGGGGAUGCCCAUCGUUUACUGUGAAAAAAUUAGAGUGUUCAAAGCAGACUUAUGUCGUUGAAUAUAUUAGCAUGGAAUAAUAAGAUAGGACAGCAGUGCUAUUUUGUUGGUUUGCGCACCGUUGUAAUGAUGAAUAGGGACAGUUGUGGGUAUUCGUAUUCACUUGUAAGAGGUGAAAUUCUUAGAUUAAGGGAAGACGAACUACUGCGAAAGCAUUUACCAAGGAUGUUUUCA